RNAcentral lists this long non-coding RNA (560 nucleotides) under Mytilus galloprovincialis (Mediterranean mussel). The record is from RNAcentral. Lineage: Eukaryota; Metazoa; Mollusca; Bivalvia; Mytilida; Mytilidae.
UGCUCAUUUCAACAAGUAAAGAGUGUAUUUGUUUCUAACCCGAAAUUUUGUCAUCGAUGACUAUUGUUUAGUAAACAUUAAGCUGCUAGAAACAGAUACAUCGUUUAAUAAACUUUAAUCGACCCUGCGUAGUCAGACAGAAAUAGAUUACAUUCACACACUGUAAACAAACAGGUAAAAGUGCGGUAAAUAAAUAACCAGGACUUUGCGAAAACAACACAUGCUCGUAAUUAUUUAAACGACAGAUGCAGAAACAAAUUUAUCGUUUACACGUCUCAAUGAUAAACGAUCAACGACUAUGCGACUAUUUUGCGCGUACAUCGUUUAUGUGAACGAUGUCAAAGUUGACCAAAAAAUGUAAGAAACAAAUGGAUUAAACGACUACGCGCGUAAUCAUUUACAUCGUAUGAUCGUUUAUGUUAGAAACAAAUGCGCUCUAAAUUACAUGUUUCAUCUUCAGUAUGUGUUCGGUACCAAAAAAAAAAUAAACAAAAACAAUAUGUAAAUACAUCAGGUAUAUCAUCAUGAUCAUAAAAGCAAAUAUCAAUUUAAUAUAUCAU